Molecule: ribosomal RNA, 233 nt
Filed under: uncultured bacterium
Lineage: Bacteria
Description: partial 16S ribosomal RNA
Rfam family: Bacterial small subunit ribosomal RNA
Source: RNAcentral
CGGGACGGGUGAGUAAUGUCUGGGAAACUGCCUGAUGGAGGGGGGUAACUACUGGAAACGGUAGCUAAUACCGCAUAACGUCGCAAGACCAAAGUGGGGGACCUUCGGGCCUCUUGCCAUCGGAUGUGCCCAGAUGGGAUUAGCUAGUAGGUGGGGUAACGGCUCACCUAGGCGACGAUCCCUAGCUGGUCUGAGAGGAUGACCAGCCACACUGGAACUGAGACACGGUCCAG